This 353-nucleotide ribosomal RNA is filed under the name Labrus bergylta (ballan wrasse). Its description in RNAcentral is "partial 12S ribosomal RNA". It matches the Rfam family "Bacterial small subunit ribosomal RNA", at positions 801 to 1360 of the family's 1533-position model. The record is from RNAcentral. Lineage: Eukaryota; Metazoa; Chordata; Actinopteri; Labriformes; Labridae.
AAACAUUGAUAGUACAGUACAUCUACUAUCCGCCCGGGUACUACGAGCACCAGCUUAAAACCCAAAGGACUUGGCGGUGCUUUAGAUCCACCUAGAGGAGCCUGUUCUAGAACCGAUAAUCCCCGUUAAACCUCACCUUUUCUUGUUUUCCCCGCCUAUAUACCGCCGUCGUCAGCUUACCCUGUGAAGGACCAAUAGUAAGCAAAAUUGGCACAGCCCAAAACGCCAGGUCGAGGUGUAGCGUAUGGAAAGGGAAGAAAUGGGCUACAUUCAAUAUAACAAUGCAUACGGAUGGUGGCCUGAAAUAACCACCUGAAGGAGGAUUUAGCAGUAAGCAGGAAAUAGAGAGUCCC